RNAcentral lists this ribosomal RNA (550 nucleotides) under uncultured Orbiliaceae. RNAcentral's name for it is "eukaryotic LSU rRNA". The stretch from base 300 to 550 matches the Rfam family "Eukaryotic large subunit ribosomal RNA", at positions 1 to 248 of the family's 3401-position model. The record is from RNAcentral. Lineage: Eukaryota; Fungi; Ascomycota; Orbiliomycetes; Orbiliales.
GCAGCGAAACGCGAUAGUUAAUGUGAAUUGCAGAAUUCAGUGAAUCAUCGAGUCUUUGAACGCACAUUGCGCCCAUAGGUAUUCCUUUGGGCAUGUCUGUUUGAGCGUCAUUACAACCCUCAGCGCAAGCUGGUUAUGAGUUGGCUGCAACCUCGUUCCGAAAGGGACAGGUGAAAUCCGGCUUUAAAGUUGUAUGCUCUGCUGGCUGCUUUGCCUGACCAAAACAUAGUAAAACUUACGACUGUUUACAGAACGGCUUUGCUUGCUCGGCCUGAAUAAAACCCAACAUUUCUUAGGUUUGACCUCAGAUCAGAUAAGGAUACCCGCUGAACUUAAGCAUAUCAAUAAGCGGAGGAAAAGAAACCAACAGGGAUUGCCUCAGUAACGGCGAGUGAAGCGGCAACAGCUCAAAUUUGAAAUCUGGAGUCUUCGACUUCCGAGUUGUAAUUUGAAGAGGAUGUUUCGGUUGGGACCACGGUCUAAGUUCCUUGGAACAGGACGUCGUAGAGGGUGAGAAUCCCGUACACGGCUGAUGGUCUCCUUCCAUGUG